GAUUUUUCAUUGUAGUGAAUGAGCCAAGCACCAAGGAGCUCUCUUGAAACCAACGUUACAUGCUCCUAUGGGUCUCAGUGAGAAUGUACCUUCACAAUGCAGGAAAAAAAAAAGUGCCAUAUACCAUAUCCUUUCCUCUCAAUCUUUCAGGGACACAAAAGCUAUUAACAAGUGCUCUGGAGGAAAGCACCACUACUGAACUGGGACUACUGGAAAUUACACUGUAUGAAGUCAGACUCGCGCCCUACAAUAAUACUGGGUCAGGGGUUCAGCUUCAUGGGCAAGAUCGUGCCAUGUGCUUGGAAAUGCUUUCAGAAUGUCAAACAGAGAUUUCUUCUGACCUAAAGCACGUGUGCUAUGACUGAAAUAACUAAAUUGGUAAGUAUUACUUUAU
Molecule: long non-coding RNA, 394 nt
Filed under: Numida meleagris (helmeted guineafowl)
Lineage: Eukaryota; Metazoa; Chordata; Aves; Galliformes; Numididae
Description: lncRNA (ENSNMEG00000019074.1)
Source: RNAcentral